Molecule: ribosomal RNA, 380 nt
Filed under: uncultured eukaryote
Lineage: Eukaryota
Description: partial 18S ribosomal RNA
Rfam family: Eukaryotic small subunit ribosomal RNA
Source: RNAcentral
CAAUAGCGUAUAUUAAAGUUGUUGCGGUUAAAAAGCUCGUAGUUGGAUUUCUGCUGAGAACGACCGGUCCGCCCUCUGGGUGUGUAUCUGGCUCUUUCUUGGCAUCUUCUUGGUGAACGUUGCUGCACUUGACUGUGUGGAGCGCUACCCAGGACUUUUACUUUGAGGAAAUUAGAGUGUUUCAAGCAGGCAUACGCCUUGAAUACAUUAGCAUGGAAUAAUAAGAUAGGACCUCGGUUCUAUUUUGUUGGUUUCUAGAGCUGAGGUAAUGAUUAAUAGGGAUAGUUGGGGGCAUUCGUAUUUAACUGUCUGAGGUGAAAUUCUUGGAUUUGUUAAAGACGGACUACUGCGAAAGCAUUUGCCAAGGAUGUUUUCAUUGA